This 996-nucleotide ribosomal RNA is filed under the name Acinetobacter variabilis. RNAcentral's name for it is "bacterial SSU rRNA". It matches the Rfam family "Bacterial small subunit ribosomal RNA", at positions 462 to 1457 of the family's 1533-position model. The record is from RNAcentral. Lineage: Bacteria; Pseudomonadati; Pseudomonadota; Gammaproteobacteria; Moraxellales; Moraxellaceae.
GGAUAAGUGGACGUUACUCGCAGAAUAAGCACCGGCUAACUCUGUGCCAGCAGCCGCGGUAAUACAGAGGGUGCAAGCGUYASMUCGGAUUUACUGGGCGUAAAGCGCGCGUAGGUGGCUAAUUAAGUCAAAUGUGAAAUCCCCGAGCUUAACUUGGGAAUUGCAUUCGAUACUGGUUAGCUAGAGUAUGGGAGAGGAUGGUAGAAUUCCAGGUGUAGCGGUGAAAUGCGUAGAGAUCUGGAGGAAUACCGAUGGCGAAGGCAGCCAUCUGGCCUAAUACUGACACUGAGGUGCGAAAGCAUGGGGAGCAAACAGGAUUAGAUACCCUGGUAGUCCAUGCCGUAAACGAUGUCUACUAGCCGUUGGGGCCCUUGAGGCUUUAGUGGCGCAGCUAACGCGAUAAGUAGACCGCCUGGGGAGUACGGUCGCAAGACUAAAACUCAAAUGAAUUGACGGGGGCCCGCACAAGCGGUGGAGCAUGUGGUUUAAUUCGAUGCAACGCGAAGAACCUUACCUGGCCUUGACAUACAGAGAACUUUCCAGAGAUGGAUUGGUGCCUUCGGGAACUCUGAUACAGGUGCUGCAUGGCUGUCGUCAGCUCGUGUCGUGAGAUGUUGGGUUAAGUCCCGCAACGAGCGCAACCCUUUUCCUUAUUUGCCAGCACUUYGGGUGGGAACUUUAAGGAUACUGCCAGUGACAAACUGGAGGAAGGCGGGGACGACGUCAAGUCAUCAUGGCCCUUACGGCCAGGGCUACACACGUGCUACAAUGGUCGGUACAAAGGGUUGCUACUGCGCGAGCAGAUGCUAAUCUCAAAAAGCCGAUCGUAGUCCGGAUCGCAGUCUGCAACUCGACUGCGUGAAGUCGGAAUCGCUAGUAAUCGCGGAUCAGAAUGCCGCGGUGAAUACGUUCCCGGGCCUUGUACACACCGCCCGUCARACCAUGGGAGUUUGUUGCACCAGAAGUAGGUAGUCUAACCUUAGGGAGGACGSUACC